Camellia sinensis is the source of this 212-nucleotide non-coding RNA. The record is from RefSeq and is a predicted model, not a curated record. Lineage: Eukaryota; Viridiplantae; Streptophyta; Magnoliopsida; Ericales; Theaceae.
AUCUAAAAUCUUGAUAUGACGGUCGAUAUUUAAAAUUUUGAUUUGAGUGGUCUUUGUUUUUAGGGUCAACUUGCUAAAGAACAGAGCAGAGCAGAAGCACUAUCAGCAGAGGUCUUGCAGCUCUCAGCACAACUCCAACAGGCCACACAAGCAUACAAUGGUCUUGCACGACUCUAUAAACCUGUAUUGCGGAGCAUUGAGAGCAAUCUCCU